UACGGAGGGGGCUAGCGUUGUUCGGAAUUACUGGGCGUAAAGCGUGCGUAGGCGGAAUGGAAAGUUAGGUGUGAAAUCCCAGGGCUCAACCCUGGAACUGCACUUAAAACUCCCAUUCUAGAGUUCUGGAGAGGUAAGUGGAAUUCCUAGUGUAGAGGUGAAAUUCGUAGAUAUUAGGAGGAACACCAGAGGCGAAGGCGGCUUACUGGACAGAUACUGACGCUGAGGCACGAAAGUGUGGGGAGCAAACAGG
Molecule: ribosomal RNA, 253 nt
Filed under: uncultured bacterium
Lineage: Bacteria
Description: partial 16S ribosomal RNA
Rfam family: Bacterial small subunit ribosomal RNA
Source: RNAcentral